RNAcentral lists this ribosomal RNA (470 nucleotides) under Pseudomonas putida. RNAcentral's name for it is "bacterial SSU rRNA". It matches the Rfam family "Bacterial small subunit ribosomal RNA", at positions 56 to 519 of the family's 1533-position model. The record is from RNAcentral. Lineage: Bacteria; Pseudomonadati; Pseudomonadota; Gammaproteobacteria; Pseudomonadales; Pseudomonadaceae.
GGCAAGUCGAGCGGAUGAGAAGAGCUUGCUCUUCGAUUCAGCGGCGGACGCGGUUGAGUAAUGCCUAGGAAUCUGCCUGGUAGUGGGGGACAACGUUUCGAAAGGAACGCUAAUACCGCAUACGUCCUACGGGAGAAAGCAGGGGACCUUCGGGCCUUGCGCUAUCCCAUGAGCCUAGGUCGGAUUAGCUAGUUGGUGGGGUAAUGGCUCACCAAGGCGACGAUCCGUAACUGGUCUGAGAGGAUGAUCAGUCACACUGGAACUGAGACACGGUCCAGACUCCUACGGGAGGCAGCAGUGGGGAAUAUUGGACAAUGGGCGAAAGCCUGAUCCAGCCAUGCCGCGUGUGUGAAGAAGGUCUUCGGAUUGUAAAGCACUUUAAGUUGGGAGGAAGGGCAUUAACCUAAUACGUUAGUGUUUUGACGUUACCGACAGAAUAAGCACCGGCUAACUCUGUGCCAGCAGCCGCG